This 679-nucleotide ribosomal RNA is filed under the name uncultured Mollicutes bacterium. RNAcentral's name for it is "bacterial SSU rRNA". It matches the Rfam family "Bacterial small subunit ribosomal RNA", at positions 61 to 719 of the family's 1533-position model. The record is from RNAcentral. Lineage: Bacteria; Bacillati; Mycoplasmatota; Mollicutes.
GUCGAACGAGAGGAAGGAAAGCUUGCUUUUCUGAAUCUAGUGGCGAACGGGUGAGUAACACGUAGGUAACCUGCCCAUGUGCCCGGGAUAACUUCUGGAAACGGAUGCUAAAACCGGAUAGGUAGCAGACAAGCAUUUGACUGCUAUUAAAGUGGCUUUGGCCAUGAACAUGGAUGGACCUGCGGUGCAUUAGCUGGUUGGUGAGGUAACGGCCCACCAAGGCGACGAUGCAUAGCCGGCCUGAGAGGGCGGACGGCCACAUUGGGACUGAGACACGGCCCAAACUCCUACGGGAGGCAGCAGUAGGGAAUUCUCGUCAAUGGGGGGAACCCUGAACGAGCAAUGCCGCGUGAGUGAGGAAGGUCUUCGGAUCGUAAAGCUCUGUUGUAACGAGAAAAACCGGCACUCAUAGGGAAUGAUGACUGAGUGAUGGUAUCUUACCAGAAAGUCACGGCUAACUACGUGCCAGCAGCCGCGGUAAUACGUACGUGGCGAGCGUUAUCCGGAAUGAUUGGGCGUAACGGGUGCGUACGUGGCCAGAUCAAGUCCUGGAGUACACGGUAUGGGCUCAACCCGUACUGGCUCUGGAAACUGAUCCGCUACAAAACAGACAGAGGACGGCGGAACUCCAUGUGUAGCGGUAAAAUGCGUAGAUAUAUGGAAGUACACCGGUGGCGAA